UGGGGAAUAUUGCGCAAUGGGCGGAAGCCUGACGCAGCGACGCCGCGUGGGGGAUGAAGGCCUUCGGGUUGUAAACCUCUUUCACCAGGGGCGAAGGGUAACUGACGGUACCUGGGGAAGAAGCGCCGGCUAACUACGUGCCAGCAGCCGCGGUAAUACGUAGGGCGCAAGCGUUGUCCGGAAUUAUUGGGCGUAAAGAGCUCGUAGGCGGCUGGUCGCGUCUGCUGUGAAAUCCCGGGGCUUAACCCCGGGCGUGCAGUGGAUACGGGCCGGCUGGAGGCAGGCAGGGGAGAAUGGAAUUCCCGGUGUAGCGGUGAAAUGCGCAGAUAUCGGGAGGAACACCGGUGGCGAAGGCGGUUCUCUGGGCCUGUUCUGACGCUGAGGAGCGAAAGCGUGGGGAGCGAACAGGAUUAGAUACC
RNAcentral lists this ribosomal RNA (419 nucleotides) under uncultured bacterium. RNAcentral's name for it is "bacterial SSU rRNA". It matches the Rfam family "Bacterial small subunit ribosomal RNA", at positions 355 to 786 of the family's 1533-position model. The record is from RNAcentral.